GAUUUCACAAGACGAGCAAACGCUUUGGCCGUAGAAAACGAGAGCCGCGUUUCAGAUCUAGCGCUAGGGUUUGCGAUCGGUCGAUGUCUUCGGCAUCUCGUUAUUCGGAGGGCUAUGGCGCGAUCCCCUCGAGCUCAUCGUCGGCCGUAGCGCCUUCGUCGUCCCGCGCCGUGGAGAUGUUCUCCCGAGCCAAGGAGCGUGGCCGCGAGAUGAUGGCCACUCGCCGCCCGUGGCGCGAACUGGCCGAUCCCGCCGCCUUCUCGCGCCCCUACGGAUACCGCGACGCGAUGGCCCGGACGCGACGCAACCUCGCUUACUUCCGUGUCAACUACGCCCUCGCCGCCCUCAUCGUUCUCUUCUGCAGUCUCCUCUGGCACCCCGUGUCUAUGAUCGUUUUUCUCGUUGUCUUCGUCGGCUGGUUCUUCCUCUACUUCUUCCGGGACGAACCGGUGGUGUUCUUUGGCCGAACGCUGGACGACCGCCUCAUUCUGGCUGCGCUCUCCGUGGUCACCAUUGUCGCCCUGGUGCUGACCCAUGUCGGGUUGAAUGUGCUGGUCGCCCUGAUUGUAGCCGCCGUCCUGAUUGGGCUUCACGCAGCAUUCCGCAUCACUGAGGAUCAGUUUCUCGAUGAGCAAGAAGUGGCCGAUGGGGGCUUGUUGUCGUUUGGCAGUGGCCGAUGAGUCAGGCUUAUGGUCGGUUCUUAUCAAUCUCGAUUCUCUCCGUCAAAGAUGGAUUUUUCUUCUGUUGAUGAAGUCUCCACUGGUUUUGAAGGAUUCAUGAACUGAUUGCUGAUUUGGAUCGACUGUGGAGGUUUUUUCUUUGCGUGCAUCUUCACCUUCUGGUCAAACAUUGGAUCAAAGGUCGUGCAAACUGAACGUAGCCUUGCAAACGUAUACAAAGAACUCAUUUGGCAAUUAUAUUUGUAGUUUUUGAUAUUGUUGAUGAAAUUGUACUUACAAAUCUUAAAUGGUUCGCAAUAUCGAAAAAUAAUUGUACUU
Zingiber officinale is the source of this 998-nucleotide RNA transcript. It is a transcript of the gene named PRA1 family protein F2-like, with no coding region annotated. The record is from RefSeq and is a predicted model, not a curated record. NCBI's taxonomy places the organism in Eukaryota, Viridiplantae, Streptophyta, Magnoliopsida, Zingiberales, Zingiberaceae. The transcript is spliced from 2 exons.